GCUGGCGUAGCUCAGUCGGCAGAGCAGCCGCCUUGUAAGCGGCAGGUCGUGGGUUCGAUUCCCUCCGCCAGCUC
This 74-nucleotide transfer RNA is filed under the name bacterium BMS3Abin02. RNAcentral's name for it is "tRNA-Thr". It matches the Rfam family "tRNA". From Rfam's summary of the family: Transfer RNA (tRNA) molecules are approximately 80 nucleotides in length. Their secondary structure includes four short double-helical elements and three loops (D, anti-codon, and T loops). RNAcentral also lists the same sequence under 1 other name. The record is from RNAcentral.